UACGUAGGUGGCAAGCGUUGUCCGGAUUUACUGGGCGUAAAGAGCGCGCAGGCGGUCGUUCAAGUCGCGUGUGAAAGCCCCCGGCUCAACUGGGGAGGGUCACGCGAUACUGAUCGACUCGAAGGCAGGAGAGGGUAGUGGAAUUCCCGGUGUAGUGGUGAAAUGCGUGGAUAUCGGGAGGAACACCAGUGGCGAAGGCGACUACCUGGCCUGUUCUUGACGCUGAGGCACGAAAGCGUGGGUAGCAUACAGG
RNAcentral lists this ribosomal RNA (253 nucleotides) under uncultured bacterium. RNAcentral's name for it is "partial 16S ribosomal RNA". It matches the Rfam family "Bacterial small subunit ribosomal RNA", at positions 524 to 776 of the family's 1533-position model. The record is from RNAcentral.